Molecule: ribosomal RNA, 479 nt
Filed under: uncultured soil bacterium
Lineage: Bacteria
Description: bacterial SSU rRNA
Rfam family: Bacterial small subunit ribosomal RNA
Source: RNAcentral
AGGACGAACGCUGGCGGCGUGCUUAACACAUGCAAGUCGAACGAGGUCCAACUAGUCGCAAGACGGGGGAAGACCGAGUGGCGAACGGGUGAGUAACACGUGAGGAACGUGCCCCGGAGACCGGGAUAACAGCGGGAAACCGCUGCUAAUACCGGAUACCUUCUUUUGACCGCAUGGUCAGCUGAAGAAAUGGAUUCCGCUCCGGGAGCGCCUCGCGGUCUAUCAGCUUGUUGGUGGGGUAACGGCCUACCAAGGCUUCGACGGAUAGCUGGUCUGAGAGGACGAUCAGCCACACUGGGACUGAGACACGGCCCAGACUCCUACGGGAGGCAGCAGUGGGGAAUCUUGCCCAAUGGGCGAAAGCCUGAGGCAGCAACGCCGCGUGUGGGAUGAAGGCCCUUGGGUUGUAAACCACUUUCAGCAGGACGAAAAUGACGGUACUGCAGAAGAAGCCCGGCCAACUACGUGCCAGCAGCCGC